Molecule: ribosomal RNA, 501 nt
Filed under: uncultured bacterium
Lineage: Bacteria
Description: bacterial SSU rRNA
Rfam family: Bacterial small subunit ribosomal RNA
Source: RNAcentral
ACUCAAAGGAAUAGACGGGGGCCCGCACAAGCGGUGGAGCAUGUGGUUCAAUUCGAAGCAACGCGCAGAACCUUACCAGCUCUAGACUACACGGUCGCGAGCACCAGAGAUGGAGCUCUUCAGUUCGGCUGGACCGUGUUCAGGUGCUGCAUGGCUGUCGUCAGCUCGUGUCGUGAGAUGUUGGGUUAAGUCCCGCAACGAGCGCAACCCUCGCCCUUAGUUGCCAUCAUUCAGUUGGGCACUCUAAGGGGACUGCCGGUGAUAAGCCGCGAGGAAGGUGGGGAUGACGUCAAGUCCUCAUGGCCCUUACGGGCUGGGCUACACACGUGCUACAAUGGCGGUGACAGAGGGAUGCAAUGGAGUAAUCCUGCGCAAAUCUCAAAAAGCCGUCUCAGUUCGGAUUGUGCUCUGCAACUCGAGCACAUGAAGUUGGAAUCGCUAGUAAUCGCAGAUCAGCACGCUGCGGUGAAUACGUUCCCGGGCCUUGUACACACCGCCCGU